RNAcentral lists this ribosomal RNA (1179 nucleotides) under marine metagenome. RNAcentral's name for it is "SSU rRNA". It matches the Rfam family "Eukaryotic small subunit ribosomal RNA", at positions 3 to 1185 of the family's 1831-position model. The record is from RNAcentral.
CCUGGUUGAUCCUGCCAGUAGUCAUAUGCUUGUCUCAAAGAUUAAGCCAUGCAUGUCUAAGUAUAAGCACUUGUACUGUGAAACUGCGAAUGGCUCAUUAAAUCAGUUAUCGUUUAUUUGAUUGUACUUUUACUACAUGGAUACCUGUGGUAAUUCUAGAGCUAAUACAUGCGAAAAAUCCUCACUUCUGGAAGGGAUGUAUUUAUUAGAUUAAAAACCAAUGCGAAUCUUCGGGUUCGUUUUCUUGGUGAUUCAUGAUAACUUUUCGAAUCGCAUGGCCUCGCGCCGGCGAUAUUUCAUUCAAAUUUCUGCCCUAUCAACUGUCGAUGGUAAGGUAGUGGCUUACCAUGGUUAUAACGGGUGACGGAGAAUUAGGGUUCGAUUCCGGAGAGGGAGCCUGAGAAACGGCUACCACAUCUAAGGAAGGCAGCAGGCUCGAAAAUUACCCAAUCCCGACUCGGGGAGGUAGUGACAAGAAAUAACGAUACGGGGUCUUAAUAGGUCUCGCAAUUGGAAUGAGUACAAUUUAAAUCCUUUAACGAGGAUCAAUUGGAGGGCAAGUCUGGUGCCAGCAGCCGCGGUAAUUCCAGCUCCAAUAGCGUAUAUUAAAGUUGUUGCAGUUAAAAAGCUCGUAGUUGGAUUUCGGAGUGGGCCAGUUGGUCCGCCGCAAGGUGUGUUACUGACUGGUUUGCUCUUCUUCGCAUAGACUGCGUGUGCUCUUUAUUGAGUGUGCGUAGGACAUGCGACGUUUACUUUGAAAAAAUUAGAGUGUUCAAAGCAGGCUAUUGCUUGAAUACAUGAGCAUGGAAUAAUGGAAUAGGACUUUGGUCCCAUUUUGUUGGUUUCUAGGACCGAAGUAAUGAUUAAGAGGGACAAUUGGGGGCAUCCGUAUUUCGUUGUCAGAGGUGAAAUUCUUGGAUUUACGAAAGACGAACAACUGCGAAAGCACUUGCCAAGAGUGUUUUCAUUAAUCAAGAACGAAAGUUAGAGGAUCGAAGACGAUCAGAUACCGUCCUAGUUCUAACCAUAAACGAUGUCGACUAGGGAUCAGCGGGCGUUAUCGUACGACCCCGUUGGCACCUUACGGGAAACCAAAGUUUCUGGAUUCCGGGGGAAGUAUAGUCGCAAGUCCGAAACUUAAAGGAAUUGACGGAAGGGCACCACCAGGAGUGGAGCCUG